Molecule: transfer RNA, 81 nt
Filed under: Firmicutes bacterium CAG:345
Lineage: Bacteria; Bacillati; Bacillota
Rfam family: tRNA
About the family: Transfer RNA (tRNA) molecules are approximately 80 nucleotides in length. Their secondary structure includes four short double-helical elements and three loops (D, anti-codon, and T loops).
Source: Rfam by way of RNAcentral
GCAGCGAUGGCGAAAUUGGUAGACGCGCUAUCUUCAGACGGUAGUGUUAUUAACAUGUGAGUUCGAGUCUCAUUCGCUGCA